This 402-nucleotide ribosomal RNA is filed under the name Sphaerodactylus nicholsi. Its description in RNAcentral is "partial 12S ribosomal RNA". Lineage: Eukaryota; Metazoa; Chordata; Lepidosauria; Squamata; Sphaerodactylidae. The record is from RNAcentral.
GGCAAAAGCCCGAAACUCCAAGGACUUGACGGUGUCUCACACAACCUAGAGGAGCCUGUCCUGCAACCGAUACCCCACGCUACACCCAACCUUCUCUCGCACCACACAGCCUAUAUACCGCCGUCGUCAGUUCGCCCUCUGAAGGCCCCCACAGCGAACACAACACUCCACUCACUAACACGUCAGGUCAAGGUGUAGCUCACGAGAAGGAAGAGAUGGGCUACAUUCUCAGCCACACCUGAGCACACCAAUAGCAACAUGAAACUUUUGACCACAAGGUGGAUUUAGCAGUAAAUCGAACAAGACAUGCUCGCUUGAACCAAGCCCUGAGACGCGUACACACCGCCCGUCACCCUCAUCAAGAACAAAUCAACACACCCCAAACCCCUCUUUUCAAGUCAA